This 768-nucleotide ribosomal RNA is filed under the name uncultured bacterium. RNAcentral's name for it is "bacterial SSU rRNA". It matches the Rfam family "Bacterial small subunit ribosomal RNA", at positions 28 to 809 of the family's 1533-position model. The record is from RNAcentral.
GACGAACGCUGGCGGCGCGCCUAACACAUGCAAGUCGAACGAGCGUGAGGAGGUUUACUUUCUCAAGCGAGUGGCGAACGGGUGAGUAACGCGUGAGGAACCUGCCUCAAAGAGGGGGACAACAGUUGGAAACGACUGCUAAUACUGCAUAAGCCCACGACCCGGCAUCGGGUAGAGGGAAAAGGAGCAAUCUGCUUUGAGAUGGCCUCGCGUCCGAUUAGCUAGUUGGUGAGGUAAUGGCCCACCAAGGCGACGAUCGGUAGCCGGACUGAGAGGUUGAACGGCCACAUUGGGACUGAGACACGGCCCAGACUCCUACGGGAGGCAGCAGUGGGGAAUAUUGCACAAUGGGGGAAACCCUGAUGCAGCGACGCCGCGUGGAGGAAGAAGGUCUUCGGAUUGUAAACUCCUGUUGUUGAGGAAGAUAAUGACGGUACUCAACAAGGAAGUGACGGCUAACUACGUGCCAGCAGCCGCGGUAAAACGUAGGUCACAAGCGUUGUCCGGAAUUACUGGGUGUAAAGGGAGCGCAGGCGGGAAGACAAGUUGGAAGUGAAAUCCAUGGGCUCAACCCAUGAACUGCUUUCAAAACUGUUUUUCUUGAGUAGUGCAGAGGUAGGCGGAAUUCCCGGUGUAGCGGUGGAAUGCGUAGAUAUCGGGAGGAACACCAGUGGCGAAGGCGGCCUACUGGGCACCAACUGACGCUGAGGCUCGAAAGUGUGGGUAGCAAACAGGAUUAGAUACCCUGGUAGUCCACACUGUAAACGA